CGGCCCUGCUCGACAUCGUCUGCGAUGUUCGGGUCGUGCCACAGCGGCUCGCGGCAUUUCACCACCGGGAUCGAGCGGGUCGAGUAGAGCUCGGUCGGCAGCCAUUCGAGCGUGCCGGCAUCAUAAAUGUUGCCGGCGUUGCCGCCGCUCGGCGCAAGUCGGAAAUUGCGCGCUAU
This 176-nucleotide unclassified non-coding RNA is filed under the name fungal sp. Its description in RNAcentral is "partial internal transcribed spacer region". The record is from RNAcentral. Lineage: Eukaryota; Fungi.